AUAAAUGGCCUGUUCCUUAGAAAAGGGAGGCACCAGCCACAGAGUCUGCACUGGUUUCAGAGUAAGCUUCUGGGAAUAAAGCAGGUAGGGAAAUGGAAAUUUAAAAAUUACUAAGAAUAAAUAGACCAGACAGUAGAAGGAUCAGGUAACUUCAGGAGAAAUCUGCUGACUGCAGACCACCACAAACCUCUAAAUUUUUGAGUCAGAAGUGUUUCCGAAGGCUAAUCUCCAUAAUAAGAGACAGAAUACAUAUUGAUGAAUUUUCCUCAAGGAUCUGGAGAAUUUUGUAGCACAGUGAAAUUUUAUUUAUUUGUUCAUUUUUGGCCACGUCUGAGGCAUGUGGAAGCUCCUAGGUCGGAGAGUGCACACACACCACAGCAGCAACCCAAGCCACAGCAGUGACAACACUGGAUCCUUAACCUGCUGUGCCACAUGGAAACUCCACAAUGAAUUUCUUGAUAGGUGGGAGAUUUCUCCCCAAUGUGUGCAUGUUUGUAUAUUUAAUGCUUGUGCUGACCUGUUAUGCUUAACUUUGGCCGGGUUCUCUUAUCAAAGAAUAAUGAAGGGAAGGAGUCCCCACUGUGGCUCAGUGGAUUAAGAAUUCGACUGCACCAGCCCGGCUUGCUGUGAAGGCACAGGUUUGAUCCCCAGUCCAGCUCAGUGGGUUAAAGGAUCCGGUUUUGCCAUAGCUGUGGUGUUAAGUCACAGCUGGGGCUUGGAUUCAAUCCCUGGCUUGGGGAAUCCGAGUGUGACCAUUAGGGAGCUUGGGGUAAAUAGAUGCAGAAUGUUGCCUUUGGGAUAGAUCAGUAAUGGGAUCCUGCUGUGUAGCACUGGGAACACUUGUCUAGUCACUUAUGAUGGAACAUGUAAUGUGAGAAAAAAGAAUGUAUACAUGUUUGUGUAACUGGGUCACCAUGCUGUACAGUAGAAAAAUAUAUAUACAUAUAUAAAUAAAUGAUAAAAAAGACAAUCCCCCCCCAAAAAAGAAAAAAAAAAAGGUAUAAUGAAGGAAAGUAGAAUAUACCACCUCAAAAUAUACCUCUUUGACAUCUUGAUUAUUUUGAGCUGGCUAUUUUUUCUUUUUGGCCUCGACAGUGGCAUGCAGAAGUUCCUUGGCCAGAGAUUGAACCAAGCUGCAGCAGUGACAGUGCCAGAUCCUUAACUCUGCCCAACAAGGGAACUCUGAGUUGGCUAUUUUAAAAAUAGAGAUAGCAGGAAUUCCUGUUGUGGCUCAGCAGAAAUGAAUCUGACUCGUAUCCAUGAGGUCAUAGGUUCGAUCCCUGGCCUCACUCAGUGGGUUAAGGAUCAAGCUAGGGGUCGAAUCGGAGUUACAGCUCCCGGUCUACACCACAGCCACAGCAACGCCAGACCUGAGCUGUGUCUGUGACCUAUACCACAGCUCACGGCUACACCAGAUCCCCGACCCACUGAUUGAGGUCAGGGAUUGAACCCACACCGUCAUGGAUACUAAUUGGAUUCAUUUCCACUGCUCCACAGCAGAAACUCCUGAAAUUCUUCCUGAGAGGUACUUCUCACUAUCUAAGGGUCUGUUUAUCCAAAGCAUAGAGAUCCUCAUCCUGUUUUUUUCCAUUCUAAAUUGCCUUCAGGGCACACUGUCUGUGGGCAUCCACAGUGAAUUGCGACUUAGCCCUUUAUAUACCUGGAUGAUGAAUGACUCUCUUUGUUCUUUUUUUGUUCACAAUAGCGAACUGGUCCAGUGGAGGAUGGGGUUGCAUUUGUUUCUUUGUCUCUUUAGUCUCCUUCAAUAACUGCAGCACUUCCUAUUCUUUCUUGUCCUUUUUUUUAACUUUCAUAACCUUAACACUUGAAGGCUAUAGGCCAGAGUAUUUCUCAACUUGGGUUUACCUGAUAUUUUCUUUUUUCUUUUUUUCUUUUUGGCUGGGUGCACAGUGGCUUGAUGUGGGAUCUCAGAUCCCAGAUCAGGGAUUGAACCCGGACCACAGUGGUGAAGGUGCUGAACCCUAACCACUAGACCACCAGGAAAGUCUCACACCUGGUAUUUUCUAAUGGUUGGAGUCAGGUUAUAAAUUUUUGGCAGAAAUAUCACAAAAUUGAGGUUGUAUACUUCUCACUGAAUUCCAACAAGAGGAACACAUUUUGAUUUGUCCUGUUACUUGAUCAUUUGAUUAAAGUGGUUUCAUUUGGUUUUCUCCAUUUAAAAUUACUGUUUUCCUCUUCGCAAUGAAUAAAUAUGUUGUGAAAAAAUACUUUCAGACUAUGUAAAUAUACCAUUCCCCAUCAAACUUUCACUCACUAGUUUUAGCAUCCUUCAAUGUUUCUUAGAUGAAUUAUUACUGUGAUAGUUUGUCAAAUGGUGAUUUUCUAAUUCCAUCAUUCCUUCUAGUUUAUUAAUGAUAUUCUACUGUAAAGGAAAAAAAUCUCUCUUCUCGUCAUUAAUUCAUUCUUUUAUUCAUAUCAGUAUGGAUUCAUAUUUUAUUUUUGGUUUCAUUUUACUAUGUAGCACUUUCACUUGAGUGAAAAUGGUAAUUGUCACUGUCAGUUUCUUAUUCCUAAUCUCAAGGGGAAUGUUUUCAAUGAUUUGUGAUUAAGUAUGGUGUUUGCUCUGCGUGCAUGUGUGUUUUCAAAAAAAUACCCUUGUGUCUUCUUAUGGCAAAAGCGAAAGUCCAGCCUUGUAAGCAGGCCUUUCCGAGUAUAACAGUCUCAGACCUAUUAUGCUAACAUUUUUCUGUGCAAGAUCACAGCCUUUUGGAACUAUCAGCUACCUUGACAGGUAACAUGUACUUUGAUGCAGGGAUAAGAUCUUCUGCCCUGGCUUGUUCUCCUGUUGGUGAGUUUGAGAGUGGGAAUGGGGUACAUCCCAGAGUAGAGAGCUUCCACUAUUUUAAUAUGGUCUCAACCACUUCCCAUUUACUUCAUUCCACCCAUCAAGUGAUCUUGUUCUUCAGUAUCCCCUACCCACUUCAUAUCUCUGCCCUGUUUUCCAGAGGCUGUCUUCCUCUACUGUGACUGAUUCUUCCACUGGGUGAGGGAGAGAGGGAAGGUAUGGGAGGGAAUGCUCAGUGGUCUUUUUAGGGCCCACACCUGUGGCAUACGGAAGUUCCCAGGCUAGGGGUAGAAUCGGAGCUGUAGCUGCUAGCCUACACCACAGCCACAGUAACGGGGCAUCCGAGCCAUGUCUGUGACCUACACCCCAGCUCAGAGCAAUGCUGGAUCCUUAACACAGUGAGCAAGGCCAGGGAUUGAACCCGAGUCCUCAUGGAUACUAGUUGAGUUCUUUACUGCUGAGCCACAGCAGGAAACCACCCCCCCCCCUUUUUUUUUCUGUGUGCACUUCUUGUUAUCAACUCUUCACUCAGGUAGAGUCACCCCACUGUGAGUCUGCCACUUAGGGCUGGAGCUAGAACUGUGCUGGUGAUGCUGCCUUCUCACCAAACCAAAGUGAAGGGAUGGGCAGCAAUCCUCCCACGACAGUGUGGGCAAGAGACUAAAAGGCCCAAUUAGGAAACUGCUUCCCAUCACUUUCCCAGUCAUAGGGCAUAGCUUCCUUUUGCCAGAACCUUCUUUCCUUUCACACAGGGGCUCAAGCACUCAUUUUCCCAACCAUUUCUCUCAUUCCCUUCAUAUUAGGAUCCAGCAAACUCCCUGUCACUUUGUGGCUUCUCCAGAGUUCAAGGGAGGGAGCUAUGAGUUCAUGCUAGUUUGUCAUAUUCUGCAGAACUGUCAAUCUCUUAAGGAAGAAACUUAAUGGAAGUCAUAAGAUCUAUAUGAAGGAAAGAGGAGUGUUAUUGAAGGAUAAGAUAUGAAUAAAUUGGAAAGAUGUCAUAUUCCUGGCUGGGGAGACUAUAUAUUAUAAAAUCCCAAUCAUUCCAAGGAUAUCAGUCAUUCUUAAAUUAAUAUAUAAAUGUAACUUAAUUUGAAUAAAAUUUCCAGCUUAUUUUAAUAAAAGAAAAUAAAU
Molecule: long non-coding RNA, 3937 nt
Filed under: Sus scrofa (pig)
Lineage: Eukaryota; Metazoa; Chordata; Mammalia; Artiodactyla; Suidae
Description: lncRNA (ENSSSCG00035021394.1)
Source: RNAcentral